RNAcentral lists this small nucleolar RNA (100 nucleotides) under Aureobasidium melanogenum CBS 110374. RNAcentral describes it as "Small nucleolar RNA snR60/Z15/Z230/Z193/J17". It matches the Rfam family "Small nucleolar RNA snR60/Z15/Z230/Z193/J17". From Rfam's summary of the family: The members of this family belong to the C/D class of snoRNAs which contain the C (UGAUGA) and D (CUGA) box motifs. Most of the members of the box C/D family function in directing site-specific 2'-O-methylation of substrate RNAs. The record is from Rfam by way of RNAcentral. Lineage: Eukaryota; Fungi; Ascomycota; Dothideomycetes; Dothideales; Saccotheciaceae.
ACUGUCUUUCAUGAUGAUACAACCACCAUAAGCAUAGUUCAACAGAAUACUCGUGUUGAUAAACCUUACCAUCAUCUUUCGCUCCUAUCUGAUUUAUCAU